Non-coding RNA from Schistosoma mansoni, 48 nucleotides. NCBI's taxonomy places the organism in Eukaryota, Metazoa, Platyhelminthes, Trematoda, Strigeidida, Schistosomatidae. The record is from Rfam.
AUCACUGCUGAGGAGUCCCAUAAUAGGACGAAACGGCCGUCCAGAGAU